AUGGUUACAUCAUUAUUACUGCAUGGAACAACCUUAGAUACUCUUACGUUGACGUGCGCAGGAGGAUUAGGCUUUGGAAUAAUAUCGCUCUCGCUGUUUAACAUUGCAACAACAUCUGACAUGGUGGGUCGAUCAUCCGCACUCUCUUGUACACACAUUAGUGCAAUGUUAAUAUACCUCCUAGCCUCUGUUGUAUGGAUCUCCGUAACAAUUGAUAAUUCUAGAAGCUCAAGCCAUCUUCCUCCUUCCCAGAGAUGCCAUGACUGCAAGAAGCAAAUGAACCAUUUUCAUCACAUACAUGAUAAAAGAAACUUCUGUCCACAAAAUAAUACACUCGUGCGCGAGAGUUUAGAAAAUGCUCACAUAUCCAAGAAGGUUAAGAAAAGUCUUCGCAUUGAUGGAAACGAGAAUUCUUUUUUCCACUAA
This 426-nucleotide ribosomal RNA is filed under the name Triticum aestivum (bread wheat). RNAcentral's name for it is "partial small subunit ribosomal RNA". Lineage: Eukaryota; Viridiplantae; Streptophyta; Magnoliopsida; Poales; Poaceae. The record is from RNAcentral.